This 433-nucleotide ribosomal RNA is filed under the name uncultured bacterium. RNAcentral describes it as "partial 16S ribosomal RNA". It matches the Rfam family "Bacterial small subunit ribosomal RNA", at positions 29 to 507 of the family's 1533-position model. The record is from RNAcentral.
AAUGAACGCUGGCGGCAGGCCUAACACAUGCAAGUCGAGCGAGCAUUUCGGUGCUAGCGGCGGACGGGUGAGUAACGCGUGGGAACGUGCCCUUUUCUGCGGAAUAGUCCUGGGAAACUGGGGGUAAUACCGCAUACGCCCUUUUGGGGAAAGAUUUAUCGGAGAAGGAUCGGCCCGCGUUGGAUUAGGUAGUUGGUAGGGUAAUGGCCCACCAAGCCGACGAUCCAUAGCUGGUUUGAGAGGAUGAUCAGCCACACUGGGACUGAGACACGGCCCAGACUCCUACGGGAGGCAGCAGUGGGGAAUCUUAGACAAUGGGGGCAACCCUGAUCUAGCCAUGCCGCGUGAGUGAUGAAGGCCUUAGGGUUGUAAAGCUCUUUCAGCUGGGAAGAUAAUGACGGUACCAGCAGAAGAAGCCCCGGCUAACUCCGUG